This 1625-nucleotide unclassified non-coding RNA is filed under the name Hevea brasiliensis (rubber tree). The record is from RNAcentral. Lineage: Eukaryota; Viridiplantae; Streptophyta; Magnoliopsida; Malpighiales; Euphorbiaceae.
UUAUAAAAUUAAAUUGAAAUUCAACGAGUUUUAUAAAAGAAAUUAAAAAAAUUUACUCGUAAAGUUGAGUAGCUGCAUAUGGUGAGUACCCGAUGACUGGGAGUUUGGUAGUGCUCUAAAGAAAAAAUCCUUCAAUCCCUCUUCCAGAUAUUGUUUCCCUGUAGAUGGUAAGUGCUUCCUCCAUAACGUUAGCUUGAGCCAGCAGCUGAGAUCUCUUCUUUCCAGAUGGAUGAGUAGAUAGAUAAUCUCUCAGUGCUGAAUCACCAGUGACCUUCCCCAAUUUCUCAUACACUCUAGGUGCAACUCGAGGAUCAUAUCCAGCAGAAGCCAUCAACAAUAGACCAAUGUAAUCUGCCUCUAUUUCCAUCCUCCGGGAGAAAGGAAGUCUCAGGAAUAGAGUUGACAUUGUGUUGACAACGUCAGGCAUAACAAACUGAUAAAGAAUAAGUUGCAAGAUGGCAAACCACAAAUUCUUGGUGAUCCCUUCUGCUGCAUGUCUUGCCACAGCAUGCCCAACCUCAUGCCCAAUAAUGGUUGCGAUCUCUGCAUCAGUUUUAAAGUGAUCAAACAACCCUGUAAACACAACAAUCUUCCCACCAGGCAAACAGAAAGCAUUAACAACAGGUUCAUCAACAACCAAAACCUCCCAAUUCAAUCCAUCCAAAUGCGAAGUUUCUGCUCUUGAUCCUCUCUCUUUCUUUCUACUCUGUUGAACCCAACUAUCAUCAAGGAUCUCAUCUUCUUUAUGCCAUUUUGUCUCAACAUUCCCUUCGGUCUCAAUCAAUGCCCUCAACGUCUCGUGUGUGCUUCCCUCAUGUGCUAUAUCGCUGUCCGACGAAGCAUACCCCAAAUCGCUCCACACUCGCUCCUGGCUUAACCCCCUUUGCAAAGCCUCAAUUAUGUCUUUUGAAAUUAAACGAACCCUCACGCUCUCUGGGUGUAUUGCGGGCAGAAUUUUGCCUUUAAAUGCCGCUUUCAUUUGCUCGAACUGGUUCUCACCGAUCUUUCUCUCUAAAGUUUUAGACAAAAGCACAAAAUGUUUUCGUUUUGUGUAAGGUACGGUCUCCAAAUUACCGAAAUAGACAGUGAUGAAAACACCAGAACCCACCAAAACGAUAAUCAACAAGCUUCUUGGAUUCUGAAACCAUCGUCUCGGGCCUCUGGGCUUAAAAUGGUAAACCUGAUACCUAUCUACAUAAUAAAAUCUCUGAGCACCACCAAGAAAUGGAUUUAGAUGUAAUCUCCUCGUACCCAUUUGGAAACCUAGUCCUAAUCUACGAAAAACAGAAGAAUUUGGAUAGAACCCAGAAAAUUUAGAUGGAUUUGAGGAAGAAAGUGAAGAACCAUUUGGGUGGAAUCUCGAAGUUGACUCUUGAACUGAAGGUCUGGAAAUAAACUUGGAAGCCAAGCUUCGAAAGGCACCGAUGGCAAGCUUAGCUUUCCUGCAGGUUUCCAUGAUUGCAAAAGCUAGAUUGGAACCAGUUCCGGUUAAAGAGCGAAGGAAUCGACUAGAAACGGUGGGUAUGAAGUAGUAUCAUGUGAUUGGUCAGAAGGAAGAAUCGGUGAGCAUUGUCGGCACCAGGCCCUCGCACGGUUCUAGAGCUUCGAACCGAAUUAAGGAUUCG